CGCGCGCGCCGUAAUGGCUUCGCUUCCUCCAGCAGUUUAAGCUGGUUGUAACCCCCCCCAACUGUGGGGUGCAAGGGGAAACGUUUUUAAGAAUUUUUCUGACAGAAUCUUAUCAUCGCAGAGACUUCUGUUCCUCUGUCAUAUUUAUUCACAAUUUGCGGAUUGAUUCCAAACAUGUAUGAGAGAGAAGAGAAGAAACCAACAGAGACCUGGAGAAGUUACCAGGGAAGAACCAUUUUUUAGCCUUACAAUUAAAUCGAGCACAAAGUCAGGAUCUUCUAUAAAUCAGGUACUUUUUUCAUGUUUAAGAAGGCUGUACAUGAUUGGAGGAGCCUGUCUUUCAGCAAAGUUAGAA
This is a long non-coding RNA of Harpia harpyja (harpy eagle), 355 nucleotides long. RefSeq lists it as uncharacterized. The record is from RefSeq and is a predicted model, not a curated record. The transcript has 3 exons. Lineage: Eukaryota; Metazoa; Chordata; Aves; Accipitriformes; Accipitridae.